RNAcentral lists this ribosomal RNA (229 nucleotides) under uncultured bacterium. Its description in RNAcentral is "partial 16S ribosomal RNA". It matches the Rfam family "Bacterial small subunit ribosomal RNA", at positions 568 to 796 of the family's 1533-position model. The record is from RNAcentral.
UCCGUAGGCGGGCAAUUAAGUCAGAGGUGAAAUCCCACAGCUCAACUGUGGAACUGCCUUUGAUACUGGUUGUCUUGAGUUACAGUGAAGUAGAUAGAAUAUGUAGUGUAGCGGUGAAAUGCAUAGAUAUUACGUAGAAUACCGAUUGCGAAGGCAGUCUACUAACUGUAUACUGACGCUAAUGGACGAAAGCGUGGGGAGCGAACAGGAUUAGAUACCCUGGUAGUCC